UACGUAGGGUGCAAGCGUUAUCCGGAAUUAUUGGGCGUAAAGAGCUCGUAGGCGGUUCAGUAAGUCGGGUGUGAAAACUUUGGGCUUAACCCAAAGCGUGCAUCCGAUACUGCUGUGACUUGAGUACGGUAGGGGAGCGAGGAAUUCCUAGUGUAGCGGUGAAAUGCGCAGAUAUUAGGAGGAACGCCGGUGGCGAAGGCGCCGCUCUGGGCCGAAACUGACGCUGAAGAGCGAAAGCAUGGAUAGCAAACAGG
RNAcentral lists this ribosomal RNA (254 nucleotides) under uncultured bacterium. RNAcentral's name for it is "partial 16S ribosomal RNA". It matches the Rfam family "Bacterial small subunit ribosomal RNA", at positions 524 to 776 of the family's 1533-position model. The record is from RNAcentral.